GUUUGUCUCGAUGGUGGAUUUAUGUGGGUCGGGGUGGGCCUGUCCGACAUGGCGGAUGCGCUCGGGCCUCUCCAAAUCCGCCCUAGAUUUGGGCUGGGUUUGAGGAGCCGGACAGCUCGGAUGUUUGGAGCCCGGUUUGAGGAGUCAUGCUAGGUCGGGUUAUUUUUAUCAGUCACUGUCCGGGGCUUCCACCCGGACGUAUAAGGUGGAUUUGGAGCGCUCGGUUGUCGACGCUCUUAGAUAUGCCACUGCUAGCUGCCGGUUUGACAUUGUCAUUUUUUUUUUGCGGAAGUUGACAUCGUCACUUGUUCCGUAUAUUCAGGCCAAAGGCCCUGUCAAACUCAAAUUGUAGAAGCAAUUAACAGACAAUACUAGCCGUAUAGAAGAAAAAAACA
RNAcentral lists this long non-coding RNA (395 nucleotides) under Triticum aestivum (bread wheat). Its description in RNAcentral is "long non-coding RNA (TAES_LNC024133)". Lineage: Eukaryota; Viridiplantae; Streptophyta; Magnoliopsida; Poales; Poaceae. The record is from RNAcentral.